AGAGUUUGAUCCUGGCUCAGAUUGAACGCUGGCGGCAUGCCUAACACAUGCAAGUCGAACGGAAACGAUGGGAGCUUGCUCCCAGGCGUCGAGUGGCGGACGGGUGAAUAAUACUUAGGAAUCUACCCAGUAGCGGGGGACAACUCGAGGAAACUCGAGCUAAUACCGCAUACGCCCCACGGGGGAAAGCAGGGGAUCUUCGGACCUUGCACUAUUGGAUGAGCCUAAGUCGGAUUAGCUUGUUGGUGAGGUAAAGGCUCACCAAGGCGACGAUCCGUAGCUGGUCUGAGAGGACGAUCAGCCACACUGGGACUGAGACACGGCCCAGACUCCUACGGGAGGCAGCAGUGGGGAAUAUUGGACAAUGGGGGCAACCCUGAUCCAGCAAUGCCGCGUGUGUGAAGAAGGCCUGCGGGUUGUAAAGCACUUUCAGUAGAGAAGAAAAGCCCACGGCUAAUACCCGUGAGUCUUGACGUUACCUACAGAAGAAGCUCCGGCUAACUCCGUGCCAGCAGCCGCGGUAAUACGGAGGGAGCGAGCGUUAAUCGGAAUUACUGGGCGUAAAGCGCGCGUAGGCGGCUUUGUAAGUCGGAUGUGAAAGCCCUGGGCUCCACCUGGGGAUGGCAUUCGAUACUGCAGAGCUAGAGUAUGGUAGAGGGAAGUGGAAUUUCCCGUGUAGCCGUGAAAUGCGUAGAUAUC
This 699-nucleotide ribosomal RNA is filed under the name uncultured bacterium. Its description in RNAcentral is "bacterial SSU rRNA". It matches the Rfam family "Bacterial small subunit ribosomal RNA", at positions 8 to 698 of the family's 1533-position model. The record is from RNAcentral.